Molecule: long non-coding RNA, 820 nt
Organism: Musa acuminata AAA Group (dessert banana)
Lineage: Eukaryota; Viridiplantae; Streptophyta; Magnoliopsida; Zingiberales; Musaceae
Exons: 3
Source: RefSeq, a predicted model, not a curated record
CCACAGAACGAAAGAGGAGCGCUGUGCUUUUGCUUGGGCUGUGUCGCUGCGAGUGCUUUUGGGAUGGACUUGGUGAGCAAGGAGGGCAAGGGGAAGGUCUCGUGGCGAUCAAAAGUGGCGACUUCGGUAGCGGGUUCGCUUGGGCGGCGGCCUGCAUCAGGUCCUAAAGGAUCAUGGAAGAUUUCAGAAAGGUUGAUCCUUAUGAACGGACACGUAUGAGUGCCGCACGACUUAAUUGAUGAGACUUUCCUUGCAUAACAUAUCAAAGAGAAGUAUAUGCAUAGAUUGUCGACACUUGUACUUUCAACAAGGAGGAAGAAACAAUGCCUUUGAUGUGUUCUAUUUCCUCCGAAGAUUACAAUAGAGAGAAAGAAAGCCGGAUGGGGAAGGAAUAAGAAAAAGGUGAUGUGGAAAUCAUUUUGUCGCUUUGAGGUUCGUGCUUUAACCUUUUUUACUCUGAAAAAAAAAAAAAUUUUUUAUUUUUACUCCCUCGUUAGGAUCAGAAAACGAAGGCUGUACGGGGAAGCCCCCAAACUCCAUCUCUUCUCUAAUCUUCGAACACCGCCUCGAGAGAUGUUUCUUCUCCUCGUCUAAGAAACCAGAAGAGAAGGUAUCAGUUUCUUGGAGGGAACCUACACUUGCCAUUUUAAUCAUGACCAUAAGAGUGGCAUCUCGAUACAAAUGUCUAAGCGAGGACAAGUAUUUUUGGUUGUUUCAUCUUUCGUUUUCCUUGAGAAGAUAACCACGACAGCUAUCCGUUCAUUCGAUGGAAGGAUUCUUGGGCCCGAGAGCCUUCUCUGGAGGGGAAUCUAAGAACCCU